AUUGAACGCUGGCGGAAUGCUUUACACAUGCAAGUCGAACGGCAGCACGGGGGCAACCCUGGUGGCGAGUGGCGAACGGGUGAGUAAUACAUCGGAACGUGCCCAGUCGGGGGGGAUAACGUAGCGAAAGUUACGCUAAUACCGCAUACGAUCUACGGAUGAAAGCGGGGGACCGUAAGGCCUCCCCCGAUUGGAGCGGCCGAUGUCAGAUUAGGUAGUUGGUGAGGUAAAGGCUCACCAAGCCGACGAUCUGUAGCUGGUCUGAGAGGACGACCAGCCACACUGGGACUGAGACACGGCCCAGACUCCUACGGGAGGCAGCAGUGGGGAAUUUUGGACAAUGGGCGCAAGCCUGAUCCAGCCAUUCCGCGUGCAGGACGAAGGCCUUCGGGUUGUAAACUGCUUUUGUACGGAACGAAAAGGCUCUGGUUAAUACCUGGGGCUCAUGACGGUACCGUAAGAAUAAGCACCGGCUAACUACGUGCCAGCCGCCGCAGUAA
This 500-nucleotide ribosomal RNA is filed under the name uncultured bacterium. RNAcentral's name for it is "partial 16S ribosomal RNA". It matches the Rfam family "Bacterial small subunit ribosomal RNA", at positions 30 to 523 of the family's 1533-position model. The record is from RNAcentral.